GGGUAUAGCUCAGUGGUAGAGUACCUGCCUAGCAUGACUGAGGUCCUGGGUUCAAUCCCUAGUACUUCCA
RNAcentral lists this transfer RNA (70 nucleotides) under Camelus bactrianus (Bactrian camel). It matches the Rfam family "tRNA". Rfam says of the family: Transfer RNA (tRNA) molecules are approximately 80 nucleotides in length. Their secondary structure includes four short double-helical elements and three loops (D, anti-codon, and T loops). Further hydrogen bonds mediate the characteristic L-shaped molecular structure. tRNAs have two regions of fundamental functional importance: the anti-codon, which is responsible for specific mRNA codon recognition, and the 3' end, to which the tRNAs corresponding amino acid is attached (by aminoacyl-tRNA synthetases). tRNAs cope with the degeneracy of the genetic code in two manners: having more than one tRNA (with a specific anti-codon) for a particular amino acid; and 'wobble' base-pairing, i.e. permitting non-standard base-pairing at the 3rd anti-codon position. Lineage: Eukaryota; Metazoa; Chordata; Mammalia; Artiodactyla; Camelidae. RNAcentral also lists the same sequence under 3 other names. The record is from Rfam by way of RNAcentral.